This is a long non-coding RNA of Neodiprion virginianus, 240 nucleotides long. RefSeq lists it as uncharacterized. The record is from RefSeq and is a predicted model, not a curated record. The transcript has 2 exons. NCBI's taxonomy places the organism in Eukaryota, Metazoa, Arthropoda, Insecta, Hymenoptera, Diprionidae.
GCGCCUGCACGUGUGUAUUUGUACUACAGCCUGCUACGCACAUCCACAGAUGGUGACUGCUGAUGGGUCAAUCGUUUGUAUACUUGUGAAAUUCGUGUAUAUAAAGUGCUUAUAAGAUAGAAAUGGAAGAAGGUGCAUUAAUUAACAAAAAAAGGGACGAAGAAAUAUCGAAAGAAAAUAAAAAAACAAAAGAAAAAAAGGAAUAAAAAUCGGAAAUAUCAAUGUGCAUGGCGUCAGCGU